Molecule: long non-coding RNA, 1155 nt
Organism: Drosophila montana
Lineage: Eukaryota; Metazoa; Arthropoda; Insecta; Diptera; Drosophilidae
Exons: 2
Source: RefSeq, a predicted model, not a curated record
GGCGCACCUAGACAAGAAUUUUAUAAAUACCCGAGUAUAUUUGAUGAAGCCUAUGUGAUGAGUCACUUACCUUGCUGCAGCCAGUAGUCGAUAGACUUUUCCACCUCUGGCAAAGGAGCAUUAAAGCCCAAAUAGCCAUCUAGUGCCAUGUGGAAGUCGUAGGUCAUCACAUUGAUGAACGUUAAGUGCUGAGAAAUUGCCGGAAUAUCGUAAGAAGUGGUCGCAGAAGCUUCAGAGGCGCCCACAGCAAUACCCAACUCCAAGCCAAGCGUAACGAAGUUCGCUCGAUCCGCAGCCUCACCGCCGCGUUGUCCGGGAUAUUCCCAGUCUAAGUCAAGACCAUCGAAGCCAUAUUGCUGGAUGAAGGAUAAUGUGGAGGAAAUAAAGGUCGCCCUUUUUGCUGGAUCGGCAGCCAUUGCCGAGUAUUUGGUGGAGCCUUCAUUCCAUCCACCCACCACAGCCAAUACUUUCAGCUUGGGAUUCACCUGUUUCAAUGCAAUUGUCUUGCUUAUGAAACCUACAAAAUAAUUCCCAAGUUCACUUAAACUGAUCGACGAAUAUACAGAAUUGUUCAGGUACUCACCCAGACCAUCAUCCAUGUCCAGCCAUGUGUCCAGGGACUUGAACUCGCCCGAGUCGCUGAUGCCAAAGAACGUGUAGCUAAUGUGCGUGCACAGGGAUGGAUCUAUGUUGGAUGGCUCAAAUUUUCCAUCUCCAGGUCGAUAAUUGGCCCAGGUGCCCCAAUAACAGUUGAGUAACUCUGCAAGACACGCCCAGAUCAAUAUCGACCGAUGACAAACGGGUUCUCAGAAGGAGGUACUCGCACUUACUGUCGCUGGCGGCCAGCUGACCUAGACAAAUCAAUGACAAUACCAAGCACGCGAAUGACUUCAUGCUUACUCUAGCUCUGAGUUCAUAUUGCCGUUACUUUUAUAGGUCGUGUACUCGCUUUGCUUAUCAGAUCCAUAAACGACAAUCUACUGUGAACUGGGUAGAUAACAUUUGCCAUCUGCGGGCGGAGUCAACGUUAAAACCACGAAAAACAAUGUCCUAAUAUAUUGCAUCUGUUGGAUAAUCUAGAUUAGAAAAGCGCUCCUCCUAUAUUUCGCACUUCAAUAUGAGUAUACUAAAUUAAAUUUUGACUCAUACUCCCCA